RNAcentral lists this ribosomal RNA (424 nucleotides) under uncultured bacterium. RNAcentral's name for it is "bacterial SSU rRNA". It matches the Rfam family "Bacterial small subunit ribosomal RNA", at positions 354 to 777 of the family's 1533-position model. The record is from RNAcentral.
GUGGGGAAUAUUGGACAAUGGGGGGAACCCUGAUCCAGCGACGCCGCGUGAGUGAAGAAGUAUUUCGGUAUGUAAAGCUCUAUCAGCAGGGAAGAAAUACUGACCUUACGGUCAGCAGACGGUACCUGACUAAGAAGCCCCGGCUAACUACGUGCCAGCAGCCGCGGUAAUACGUAGGGGGCAAGCGUUAUCCGGAUUUACUGGGUGUAAAGGGAGCGUAGACGGCAGCGCAAGUCUGAAGUGAAAUCCCAUGGCUUAACCAUGGAACUGCUUUGGAAACUGUGCAGCUGGAGUGCAGGAGAGGUAAGCGGAAUUCCUAGUGUAGCGGUGAAAUGCGUAGAUAUUAGGAGGAACACCAGUGGCGAAGGCGGCUUACUGGACUGUAACUGACGUUGAGGCUCGAAAGCGUGGGGAGCAAACAGGA